RNAcentral lists this ribosomal RNA (468 nucleotides) under uncultured bacterium. Its description in RNAcentral is "partial 16S ribosomal RNA". It matches the Rfam family "Bacterial small subunit ribosomal RNA", at positions 28 to 507 of the family's 1533-position model. The record is from RNAcentral.
GAUGAACGCUGGCGGCGUGCUUAACACAUGCAAGUCGAACGGAAAGGCCCAAGCUUGCUUGGGUACUCGAGUGGCGAACGGGUGAGUAACACGUGGGUGAUCUGCCCUGCACUUCGGGAUAAGCCUGGGAAACUGGGUCUAAUACCGGAUAGGACGAUGGUUUGGAUGCCAUUGUGGAAAGUUUUUUCGGUGUGGGAUGAGCUCGCGGCCUAUCAGCUUGUUGGUGGGGUAAUGGCCUACCAAGGCGUCGACGGGUAGCCGGCCUGAGAGGGUGUACGGCCACAUUGGGGCUGAGAUACGGCCCAGAGUCCUACGGGAGGCAGCAGUGGGGAAUAUUGCACAAUGGGCGCAAGCCUGAUGCAGCGACGCCGCGUGGGGGAUGACGGCCUUCGGGUUGUAAACUCCUUUCGCUAGGGACGAAGCGUUUUUGUGACGGUACCUGGAGAAGAAGCACCGGCUAACUACGUG